RNAcentral lists this ribosomal RNA (380 nucleotides) under uncultured Nitrososphaerota archaeon. RNAcentral describes it as "bacterial SSU rRNA". It matches the Rfam family "Archaeal small subunit ribosomal RNA", at positions 471 to 851 of the family's 1478-position model. Lineage: Archaea; Thermoproteati; Nitrososphaerota. The record is from RNAcentral.
UAAAACCAGCACCUCAAGUGGUCAGGAUGAUUAUUGGGCCUAAAGCAUCCGUAGCCGGCUAUGUUAGUUUUCGGUUAAAUCCAUGUGCUCAACACAUGGGCUGUCGGAAAUACUGCAUAGCUAGGGAGUGGGAGAGGUAGACGGUACUCGGGAGGAAGUGGUAAAAUGCUUUGAUCUCUCGAUGACCACCAGUGGCGAAGGCGGUCUACCAGAACACGUCCGACGGUGAGGGAUGAAAGCUGGGGGAGCAAACCGGAUUAGAUACCCGGGUAGUCCCAGCUGUAAACUAUGCAAACUCAGUGAUGCAUUGGCUUGUGGCCAGUGCAGUGCCGCAGAGAAGUCGUUAAGUUUGCCGCCUGGGAAGUACGUACGCAAGUAUG